This 777-nucleotide ribosomal RNA is filed under the name uncultured Neocallimastigales. RNAcentral describes it as "partial large subunit ribosomal RNA". It matches the Rfam family "Eukaryotic large subunit ribosomal RNA", at positions 23 to 615 of the family's 3401-position model. Lineage: Eukaryota; Fungi; Neocallimastigomycota; Neocallimastigomycetes; Neocallimastigales. The record is from RNAcentral.
GAGACUCUGUGCGCGUGCAUAUCAAUAAGCGGAGGAAAAGAAACUAACUAAGGAUUCCCUCAGUAACGGCGAGUGAAGCGGGAAGAGCUCAAAUUUGAAAUCUUCAAGGUUCUGACCUUGACGAAUUGUAGUUUAAAGAAGUGUUUUCUGUUAGAGUUUUGGUAAAAGUUCUUUGGAAUAGGACAUCAUAGAGGGUGAGAAUCCCGUAUUUGACCAUUUCUUCCAGCUGUGUGAUACACUUUCAAAGAGUCGGAUUGUUUGGGAAUGCAGUCCAAGAUGGGUGGUAAAUUUCAUCUAAAGCUAAAUAUUGGCGAGAGACCGAUAGCGAACAAGUACCGUGAGGGAAAGAUGAAAAGAACUUUGAAAAGAGAGUUAAACAGUACGUGAAAUUGUCAAAAGGGAAGCGUUUGACACCAGUGUUGUUUAGUUGAAAAUCAAUUCAAUAAUUUUUGAUUUUAAGUAGUAUUGACUUCAUCAGCUUGCUGCUUUCUUUUCGGAAAUUAUUGAAUGCACUUUUCAGUUAACAAGUCAACAUCAAUUUCUUUUGUUGUAAAAGGGUAAGAGGAAGGUGGCUUACGCUUCGGCGUAAGUGUUUAUAGCCUUUUACCUCUGCAAUCGGAGAGAUUGAGGACAGCAGCGUAGACUCCUUCGGGGGUUAGAUACACUUGUGCUAAGCUAUAGCCUUGUAUAGACAACUUGUUGACUAUGCUCAGUCAUGUAGCUUACUCGCAUGUGCUACUUUACCUACGCUUAGGAUGUUGAACUCUAUCACACACA